CCUACGGGUGGCUGCAGUGAGGAAUAUUGGUCAAUGGCCGGAAGGCUGAACCAGCCAUGCCGCGUGAAUGUCAGUGCCCUAUGGGCGUUAAACUUCUUUUGUGCGGGAGCAAUAAUGGUCACGUGUGGCCAGACGAGAGUACCGUACGAAUAAGCAUCGGCUAACUCCGUUCCAGGAGCCGCGGUAAUACGGGUGAUGCAAGCGUUAACGGGAUUCAGUGGGUUUAAAGGGUGCGUAGGCUGUGAGGUAAGUCAGCGGUGGAAUUCCCCCGCUCAACGGGGUGAAGUGCCAUUGAUACUGGCUUGCUGGAAUGCGGAAGCGGUGGGAGGAAUGUGUGGUGUAGCGGUGAAAUGCAUAGAGAUCACACAGAACACCGAUUGCGAAGGCAUCUCACGAAUCAGAGAUUGACGCUGAUGCACGAAAGCGUGGGUAUCAAACAGGAUUAGAUACCCCUGUAGUC
This 460-nucleotide ribosomal RNA is filed under the name uncultured bacterium. RNAcentral describes it as "partial 16S ribosomal RNA". It matches the Rfam family "Bacterial small subunit ribosomal RNA", at positions 338 to 795 of the family's 1533-position model. The record is from RNAcentral.